This 291-nucleotide ribosomal RNA is filed under the name Salmonella enterica subsp. enterica serovar 1,4,[5],12:i:-. RNAcentral describes it as "partial 23S ribosomal RNA". It matches the Rfam family "Bacterial large subunit ribosomal RNA", at positions 495 to 788 of the family's 2925-position model. The record is from RNAcentral. Lineage: Bacteria; Pseudomonadati; Pseudomonadota; Gammaproteobacteria; Enterobacterales; Enterobacteriaceae.
CUAGUACCGUGAGGGAAAGGCGAAAAGAACCCCGGAGAGGGGAGUGAAAUAGAUCCUGAAACCGUAUGCGUACAAGCAGUGGGAGCAGACUUUGUUCUGUGACUGCGUACCUUUUGUAUAAUGGGUCAGCGACUUAUUUUCAGUGGCGAGCUUAACCGAAUAGGGGAGGCGUAGCGAAAGCGAGUCUUAAUAGGGCGUCUAGUCGCUGGGAAUAGACCCGAAACCGGGCGAUCUAUCCAUGGGCAGGUUGAAGGUUGGGUAACACUAACUGGAGGACCGAACCGACUACCG